GCUGGACGUCGAGCGGCGGACGGGUGAGUAACGGCUGGGAACCUGCCCUGACGAGGGGGAUAACCGUUGGAAACGACGGCUAAUACCGCAUAAUGUCUACGGACCAUAGGUGGCCUCUACAUGUAAGCUAUCGCGUUGGGAUGGGCCCAGUUAGGAUUAGCUAGUUGGUAAGGUAAUGGCUUACCAAGGCGACGAUCCUUAACUGGUUUGACAGGAUGAUCAGCCACACUGGGACUGACACACGGGCCACACUCCUACGGGAGGCACCCCUGGGGAAUAUUGCACAAUGGGGGAUACCCUGAUGCAGCCAUGCCGCGUGUGUGAAUAAGGCCUUCGGGUUGUAAAGCACUUUCAGCAGUGAGGAAGGUGGUGUACUUAAUACGUGCAUUGCUUGACGUUAGCUGCAUAAGAAGCACCGGCUAACUCCGUGCCAGCAACCGCGGUAAUACGGAGGGUGCGAGCGUUAAUCGGAAUUACUGGGCGUAAAGCGCAUGCAGGCGGUUUGUUAAGUCAGAUGUGAAAGCCCGGGACUCAACCUCGGAACCGCAUUUGACACUGGCAGGCUAGAGUCUUGUAGACGGGGGUAGAAUUUCAGGGUGUAGCGGUGAAAUGCGUAGAGAUCUGAAGGAAUACCAGUGGCGAAGGCGGCCCCCUGGACAAAGACUGACGCUCAGAUGCGAAAGCGUGGGUAGCAAACAGGAUUAGAUACCCUGGUAGUCCACGCCGUAAACGCUGUCUACUUGGAGGUUGAGGUUUAAGACUUUGGCUUUCGGCGCUAACGCAUUAAGUAGACCGCCUGGGGAGUACGGCCGCAAGGUUAAAACUCAAAUGAAUUGACGGGGGCCCGCACAAGCGGUGGAGCAUGUGGUUUAAUUCGAUGCAACGCGAAGAACCUUACCUACUCUUGACAUCCAGAGAAUCUUCCAGAGAUGGAUGGGUGCCUUCGGGAGCGCUGAGACAGGUGCUGCAUGGCUGUCGUCAGCUCGUGUUGUGAAAUGUUGGGUUAAGUCCCGCAACGAGCGCAACCCUUAUCCUUGUUUGCCAGCACGUAAUGGUGGGAACUCCAGGGAGACUGCCGGUGAUAAACCGGAGGAAGGUGGGGACGACGUCAAGUCAUCAUGGCCCUUACGAGUAGGGCUACACACGUGCUACAAUGGCAGAUACAGAGGGCAGCGAAGCUGCGAAGUGGAGCGAAUCCCUUAAAGUCUGUCGUAGUCCGGAUUGGAGUCUGCAACUCGACUCCAUGAAGUCGGAAUCGCUAGUAAUCGUGGAUCAGAAUGCCACGGUGAAUACGUUCCCGGGCCUUGUACACACCGCCCGUCACACCAUGGGAGUGGGCUGCACCAGAAGUAGAUAGCUUAACCUUCGGGAG
This 1372-nucleotide ribosomal RNA is filed under the name Salinivibrio sharmensis. RNAcentral's name for it is "bacterial SSU rRNA". It matches the Rfam family "Bacterial small subunit ribosomal RNA", at positions 83 to 1448 of the family's 1533-position model. The record is from RNAcentral. Lineage: Bacteria; Pseudomonadati; Pseudomonadota; Gammaproteobacteria; Vibrionales; Vibrionaceae.